AUGAUGAGCCCCCGCUUGCCACUCCUCUUUGAUGCCACAGAUGAGAUUCGUAGCGCGCCUGA
Molecule: small nucleolar RNA, 62 nt
Filed under: Euglena gracilis
Lineage: Eukaryota; Euglenozoa; Euglenophyceae; Euglenales; Euglenaceae
Description: Eg-m2 snoRNA
Source: RNAcentral